UGGGCCCCCGUUGCGCCGCGCUAUAAAGAUAGGUGGGGGCCAGCGGCUCGGAUCACGAGAAUCACCGGCCGCCGCCACCCCACCAACAGUCACACCCUAGCCGAUCUAAGUCGUGCGCGGCAGCGACGGGAAGUUCCACCGCCGGCCAUCUUUCGCGCACUCUCCCUCGACUCCGAGCUCGUGCACGCGCCUGCACCUCGGUCACCGCGAGCACGAACGCCUUCGGCCCGACCACCGCGAGCUCCCGCACUACAUCAUCAUGGCGGGCACGUCUGCGUCAUCCGCCGCCCAAGGGCACGAAGGCAAAAGCUCUCAAUAACACAGACCUCAAGAAGGACAGGUUCUAGUUGAUAAGGACCAAUGCCUCUACUGCAAAGAAAAGGGACACUACAAGAAGAACUGUCACAAAUAUCUAAAGAUGAUCAUGGAAAAGAGAGGGAUUCCAUUCGACGAGAACCACUCAAAGAAGCGAAAAGCAAGUUAGAGUGCCAAAUGGAGCACAGGCAGACGUUGAAGCAGUGGGAGACGUUCAUUUGGAACUCGACACUGGCUUCAUUAUAGUCCUUAGAGAUGUUUUAUAUGUACCUUCUUUACACAGAAACUUAAUUAGUGUGUCUUGCCUGGACAAAGAUGGUUACUCCUGUCUAUUUGGAGAUGGCAAGUGUUUGAUUGAAUGUAAUGAUACAGUUAUUUCCAUUGCAUUCAGAAAAAAUGAUCUUUACUUGA
Molecule: long non-coding RNA, 726 nt
Organism: Panicum hallii
Lineage: Eukaryota; Viridiplantae; Streptophyta; Magnoliopsida; Poales; Poaceae
Exons: 3
Source: RefSeq, a predicted model, not a curated record